RNAcentral lists this ribosomal RNA (253 nucleotides) under uncultured bacterium. RNAcentral describes it as "partial 16S ribosomal RNA". It matches the Rfam family "Bacterial small subunit ribosomal RNA", at positions 524 to 776 of the family's 1533-position model. The record is from RNAcentral.
UACGUAGGGUCCGAGCGUUGUCCGGAAUUACUGGGCGUAAAGCGCGCGCAGGCGGCCCGCGAGGUGUCACGUGAAAGCCCCGGGCUCAACCCGGGAGGGUCGUGGCAAACCGGCGGGCUUGAGGCCGGUAGAGGUGGGUGGAACUCCUGGUGGAGUGGUGAAAUGCGUAGAGAUCAGGAAGAACACCAAAGGCGAAGGCAGUGUCCUGGCUGGUUCCUGACGCUGAGGUGCGAAAGCUAGGGGAGCGAACGGG